GGGCCGGAAAGUUUGCGCAGCGAGAGGGACUCUCCUUCCGUGUCUCUCCCGCGCUGCCCCCUUCUGCCCCGGAGGGGCGUUAGAGUCCCCUCGGGUUUUCCUUUCAAAUUCUAAAAUAAAAAAAUAAUAUAUGCCCAGGCCCUGGGGAAAUUGGAAUAGUAAUUCAUUCAAUAAAUGAAAUUAUAUGAGAGGUUUUGGGAAAACCCCAAGCCAACCGCAUGUGCCCUCCGAUCAAGUAGGGCAAGAGAGUGAGAAGGCGACAGAAGAGGUCCCCGGCUCGCCCUGGGCACACGGGCGAGGACUCUGGUCAGAGGUAAUUAUGUCACUGCGUUUUCUCGCUGUGACAGCCGAAUAAACACAAUCUCCAAUAAACAUCUCUAAUGAGGGAGGAGGCCCGAGGAUGGCUGGGUUUGAUUUAUGACUGGAGGAGAAGGUCCACUUCCCACUGAGAAGCGGGCAACCUGCUCACCGCCCAGACCCGGAGAAAGGAAUCCGCGGAGGAGAGGACCCAGGCCCAGGAUAUGAUCCAGGAUUCCAUGUUGCAUCAGAUCUGCUGAUUUUUUAGACUCAAAGCCUUGGAGGGCUGAGCUGAACACACCUCCGCUGGAAAAUUAUCUGGAGCCAGCAUUUAUUGGGUGCUUAGGGUUUGCCAUCCUCACCACACUGCGGGGGAUCGGGAUGUCAGCUCUCUCACCUAAGGACCCGUUCGAGCGUGGAGGAGAAUGUGAAGACGAGCCGAGGCUGCCCUAAAAUAAUCAUAAAGAAGGAGAGACGCGCCCCCGGUGUAUUGGCACGUGUUUCACAAGUUGCGCUUAGCAAAUACAAGUCCUUGUGAGCGCUGCCUUUUAUGUGGCAGUAAACCAUCUCUGAUGGUGUCGAGCGCAGAGGCUCACGCCAGCUAACCCAGCCUGCCUCGGAGGGCCCUCCCCAGGGGCUCGCGCCUUCCCACGGCAGAGGGAGGGCACAUCAGAUCGAGGCGGGUGCCCAAGGGAGGUCGUGAUGUGUUUUGUCUGCUCGACCCUGGCAGUGGUGCGCCUAUGUUCCUCUGCUUGAGCCAAUCCUCAAGACAUUUGGCAGAGGAGGAAACUGCGGCCUUGAGGAAAGAACCGCCGGAAGAAGAUCAGUGCUGGGAUAUUUGCUCCUCAUCCUCUGUUCUUCUGACGCCACCUCGUGCCCUCUCUUUGCCUGGUUGUCACUUCCUGGUGCCCUCACUUCUACCCGUGUGACCUAGAUUGAACCUCAAUCCAAGAGCUAUUCAAGCAGCCAAGGAGAGAAGGAUAACGUGGGGCAGAAGCAUGGUUCCACAGAACACAGGGCCGGCGCACCGGGCACAUCCUGCACAGAUUCAAGGAAGCAGAAAGCCACCGGGACUUGCACAUCGAGAGAAGCCUUCAGGGAGAGAAGUGAGGGAGCUCCCAGGUUACUUCCUGUUCAAAAGCCACUGAAGUGGACGCAAAAGGCAAGGAGAGCCCGAGGCCUUGGCAUCUCCGCCGGCCCAACCUGCAAAGGAAUCCAGCACCCACUGCCCGUGAGGUCUUUGAAGGAAGACGGUGUGGGGCCUGGCGGUCUCCGCAGGAGGGGAGCAGGGAGGGAGGGAGGAGGGCUAUGUCUGGACCGGUCUCUCUCCGCCACCCACAGAAGGCUCCUCCUUCAUUUGGAAGCCUCCUAACCUGAGCACAAAUGAGACCCCCUGGGAUCCCAAAAUAGCUCCCCUCACAGCUGCACAGCAUCCAUUUAUAGCACAGCAUCUCUGCAGCCUCAGGCUGCUCCUGGGACGGCCCUUCUGAGCUCAGCAUCUGCGAACACCAGGCUCCAUGUCAUUUAAAAGCAGAAAUACUCAUAAAGGACCUAUUAUGGCCUUGUCACUGUUUUCCAGAACUUGCCUCAACCCUCAGAGACCUCAAAGGGCCAAAUUUGUUUUGACCCAGAGCCAGACCAUGUUUUGUCCAACAAUAACCCAGAGGCCGGUCGGGUCCCUUCCUCUGGGCUCGGCAGCAGUUGAGAAUGUUCUACUUGGUGGCAGCAGGACAAACAGUACCAAACUGAUGCUUGGGCCUUAGACCAAGUCACUCGGACAGCCCCAGGGCAGAACCACCAUUAGGCUCUAUGUCUAUACUGUCCACUUACUAGCAAGGAAAGUAACUGAGGCCUCUUAUUGACAUUAUCCACUCAUGUUAUCGGUGCUAACUCUGAAUGUCAAAUUAUAGAGCAAAGAAACACCCCCGGCCCCAUCGAGGUAGGUUCUGUACUUCCUUCUCAUAUGAACUUUAACCCACUUUUUCACAUGCGACUUAUGUAGAGACAGACUGAAACCGUCCAUUGAUAAUCAAGUGUAUGUUGCUUUUUCACCCCCGACUCUGAGCGGAGCUGAGAGAUCAGAAGUGACCCUGGCUGGCCGCUUGCAGUUUGCUCAGCCUCCUUCUGCUUUCUGUGACAGCCACUGGCACUUGUCUUCCUGAGACAAACAUUUUUUUGUUCAAGCAGAUUCAGGCCGCCUCUGGAAUCGGUCCAGAGCAGUUUUCUGAAGGUGGGGGGAGGGGGCUUCCUUUCCAAAGUUGCUGAGUGGGAGCAAGUCUCUGCUGAUGAGCCUUUCCGGGGGUGGGGGGGGAGUGGGGGGGAAGGCCUGGAGGGAGUUCAUAAGAGCCGGGCCACUGACAGGACAUAUCUGCCCUGUUAAGGCGACCGAGGCCCUAGCGCAGGGUAGCAACAUUCAUCCAGGGGUAAGAAACCUGUGUGAUCAUGUCCCCUCCCCACCUCCCCGACCUAUUAAAGAGAGUUCUUUCUAGAGCAGUCUUAGAUUCACAGCAAAAUUGAGCAGAAAGUACAGAGAAUUCCCUUAUCCUCCCUGCCCCCCCACCUCACUAUCAAAUCCCCACCGUGGCACAUUUGUUAUAAUUGAUGAAUUUACAUGGACACAUCAUUAUCAACCAAAGUCCAUGGUUUACCAUAGGGUUCCGUCUUGGUGUUGUACAUUCUAUGAGUUGUACAUUCUACGAGUUUGCUUGUUGUUUCCUGGUCUUUUCAAGUAGGAGUAAGCAUAAAAUACAUCAUCAUGAGUUCAUACUGAUACAUCGUUUCCAAUUCAAGACUACAGGGUUGUGAUAUUGUGAUUUAUACACUUGGUCUUCUGUGCCUCUUUCUGGCACAGAACUCCUAACACCCUUGCAAUUUGCUCAUGAUGGGAGUGGUAAAGGGGAAAAUUAAUCAGUUAAUUUUGCAAAAUAUUAUUACAUCACUUUUAUUGCUCAAAAACAUUCCUUUUUUUUUAUCGAGACACGUUAUGAACUAGUCCACAUAUUGGUAUAUGAACCCAGGGUUUCCUUAAAAUAUUUUAAGAUGGGAAUAUGUAUUUAUUUGCAUGUGUAUGUGUCAGGAUUGCUCUGAAGAAAGACCCCAGUACAGGCCAACAGCGGACAUCAUGGCUAUUAUUACUGGAGUCAGUCACAAGAGAGAAAUGGAUUUCUUCCCAAGACUUCCUUGGUUACUGCACUGAUGAAGGCACAAGUCGAAAGACUUACGUUUUAGUAAUUUUUUUGGUUGCUAUUGACUUCUCUCUUGUUCCCCUCUGGUGUCAUCAAAUUUGAGCCAAUUCUGAGCCAGACGCAUAAAGGGAAUCCCGGCUGUUGGUGAACGCUGAGGAAGAGGCAAAGGCAUAAAUAUAGGGAGUGGGUGCCUGAGUGCUAAGUGAUGGAGAUUGAAGGGGAAAUUACCCCUCUUCUUCUGCUUUACAAAUUCACAAACAUCUAGUCCACCACGAAGUCUAUAACAGCCAUUUGAUAAACACAAAAUUCAAUUAAACUGAUUCAGAAAUGGCUCUAGCCUGGACAUUUAAACCAAUAGCCAAUUGCUGCAGAGAAAAUGCUGGAGCAGAUGGAUGUUUCUCUAGAUCUUAUCUGCCUUGGGUUUUCAGGUGAAUUCAUCCCAGAAAUGAGGGGUUGUGGAACUUGGUACCUGGGAUUUCAUGGAGUCCUUGGGAAGUUCAAGUCACCCCAAAAUGCUUACUUCUUGAGUCAUCUCCUUUUGCCUUCUUACAUCAUCUAAUUUAAAAUGUAUACUUUUGUUAAGGGUAGGGUUCAAGUUUAUUAAUCAUUAAUCAUCUUAUUGUAAUUAUGUCAGUGCAAAUGUAAUAGGUAGAUCAACAUUGACAUAUUAUUUCCAUUAAUAUACAUUACUUGUAGUUUUCUAUUUAGUCACUAACCGUGGCUCAUUCACCUUUUUAGGCUGAAUCAUCAGAUGUGAAGAGCCAUCCAGGGCAUUUCUGAGUUCUGAUUGGUUGCACUAGCUCGAAAUCUGAUUAGUCCAAAAUUUGGCCCCAAAAGUCUCAGCAAAAGUCUUGUCCCGUGUGUGUUUGAAAUUUUACAGAGUGAUUCAUAGCUGUUAUUUGUUCUAAGCAAAUAUCUGACAAGUUUCUGAUCCAUUGAUUUUGCAGAGGAAAUGUUUCCAAGUGCCAUUGCCUUUCCCUAAAAGCCAGCUUAAAGCCCACACAUGUUUAUAUUGCGUGUUAUGUUCAAAGAGCAUUUAGGUAAGUGGAGUGGGAUAUAGAACCACCUACGGUUCUGUCUUAUCUUGCUGGACUGGGAGGAUGUUUCCUGUGACCUCUCAAGGCACGUGAACACACAAUGCGCUAGGCAGCCCUCCGGUUUUCCUCCUGCAACAUCGGCAUUGGACAGCCUGGUGGAACAGAGGUGGUCUGGGAGGCACAAGGCCUGGGUAUUGGUUUUGAUUGUCCUACUGAAGAGUCGUAGCCCCUUAGCAAAGUGCCUUAACCAUUUGAUUCUCACUUCUUUUCUCUAUAAACGGGAAAAGGAAUACCUGUCUACCACAUCUUAGCACGUUGUGGUUGGAGCCAAAUGAGAACUUGGGCAAAUAAGAAGGCUUUGGUAGGGAGUUCCCUUCCUGGCUCAGUGGUUAACGAACCCAACUAGGAUCUACAAGGAUAUGGGUCGAUCCCUGGCCUUGCUCAGCGGGUUAAGGAUACAGCAUUGUCAUGAGCUGUGGUGAAGGUCACAGAUGUGGCUUCGAUCCCAAGCUGCUGAGGCUGUGGCUGUGGCCUAGGCCGGCGGCUGCAGCUCCGAUUCGACCCCUAGCCUGGGAACCUCCAUAUGCCAUGGGUGCAGCCCUAAAAAGCAAAACAAAAAAAAAAGUUAAAAAAAAAAA
This 5157-nucleotide long non-coding RNA is filed under the name Sus scrofa (pig). Its description in RNAcentral is "lncRNA (ENSSSCG00050013206.1)". Lineage: Eukaryota; Metazoa; Chordata; Mammalia; Artiodactyla; Suidae. The record is from RNAcentral.